GAGUUUGAUCAUGGCUCAGAUUGAACGCUGGCGGCAGGCCUAACACAUGCAAGUCGAGCGGAUGAAGGGAGCUUGCUCCUGGAUUCAGCGGCGGACGGGUGAGUAAUGCCUAGGAAUCUGCCUGGUAGUGGGGGAUAACGUCCGGAAACGGGCGCUAAUACCGCAUACGUCCUGAGGGAGAAAGUGGGGGAUCUUCGGACCUCACGCUAUCAGAUGAGCCUAGGUCGGAUUAGCUAGUUGGUGGGUAAAGGCCUACCAAGGCGACGAUCCGUAACUGGUCUGAGAGGAUGAUCAGUCACACUGGAACUGAGACACGGUCCAGACUCCUACGGGAGGCAGCAGUGGGGAAUAUUGGACAAUGGGCGAAAGCCUGAUCCAGCCAUGCCGCGUGUGUGAAGAAGGUCUUCGGAUUGUAAAGCACUUUAAGUUGGGAGGAAGGGCAGUAAGUUAAUACCUUGCUG
This 461-nucleotide ribosomal RNA is filed under the name uncultured microorganism. Its description in RNAcentral is "bacterial SSU rRNA". It matches the Rfam family "Bacterial small subunit ribosomal RNA", at positions 9 to 471 of the family's 1533-position model. The record is from RNAcentral.